RNAcentral lists this ribosomal RNA (429 nucleotides) under Chloroflexota bacterium. RNAcentral describes it as "Chloroflexi bacterium partial 16S ribosomal RNA". It matches the Rfam family "Bacterial small subunit ribosomal RNA", at positions 355 to 776 of the family's 1533-position model. Lineage: Bacteria; Bacillati; Chloroflexota. The record is from RNAcentral.
UGGGGAAUAUUGCACAAUGGGCGCAAGCCUGAUGCAGCCAUGCCGCGUGUAUGAAGAAGGCCUUCGGGUUGUAAAGUACUUUCAGUCGGGAGGAAGGUGUCAAGGUUAAUAACCUUAUCAAUUGACGUUACCGACAGAAGAAGCACCGGCUAACUCCGUGCCAGCAGCCGCGGUAAUACGGAGGGUGCAAGCGUUAAUCGGAAUUACUGGGCGUAAAGCGCACGCAGGCGGUUGAUUGAGUCAGAUGUGAAAUCCCCGGGCUUAACCCGGGAAUUGCAUCUGAUACUGGUCAGCUAGAGUCUUGUAGAGGGGGGUAGAAUUCCAUGUGUAGCGGUGAAAUGCGUAGAGAUCUGGAGGAAUACCGGUGGCGAAGGCGGCCCCCUGGACAAAGACUGACGCUCAGGUGCGAAAGCGUGGGGAGCAAACAGG